RNAcentral lists this ribosomal RNA (583 nucleotides) under Hynobius leechii (Gensan salamander). Its description in RNAcentral is "partial 16S ribosomal RNA". It matches the Rfam family "Bacterial large subunit ribosomal RNA", at positions 1883 to 2606 of the family's 2925-position model. The record is from RNAcentral. Lineage: Eukaryota; Metazoa; Chordata; Amphibia; Caudata; Hynobiidae.
UGCUCGGUGAUUUUACAAACAUCGGUCCCUGCAAUUAAGGUAUAAGAGGCCCUGCCUGCCAGGUGACAUUAGCGUAAUCACUUGUCUUUUAAAUAAAGACCAGUAUGAAUGGCAAGGUACGAAAGUUCAACUGUCUCCCUAAAUUAAUCAGUGAAAUUGAUUUCUCCGUGCAGAAGGCGAGAUAAAAUUAUAAGACGAGAAGACCCUAUGGAGGCUUUAAACAUAUAAUCAAUUCCGUAGUUCCAUAAAAUCCGAAAGAUAAAAUAUAAAAUAAACAAUAUGAUUAAAAUUUUAGGUUGUAUGGGCGACCACGGAGAAAAGUCAAAACCUCCGAGAUGAAAAGAAUAUCUUAAUUUAAGAACCUCCGCAAUUCCAAAAAAUAAAAUAUUUAACAGAUUAAUUGAUCCAAUAUUUUGAUCAACGAACAAGUGGUUACCCUAGGGAUAACAGCGCAAUCCUCUCCAAGAGUCCCUAUCGACGAGUGGGUUUACUAAUACCUCGGAUGUUGGAUCAGGACACCCGAUGGUGCAGGACCGCUAUUAAAGGUUCGUUUGUUCAACGAUGUUAAAGUCCUACGUGACGU